RNAcentral lists this long non-coding RNA (2201 nucleotides) under Sinocyclocheilus anshuiensis. Its description in RNAcentral is "lncRNA (ENSSANG00000045563.1)". Lineage: Eukaryota; Metazoa; Chordata; Actinopteri; Cypriniformes; Cyprinidae. The record is from RNAcentral.
AUUUCAGUAACGCUCUGGGACAAUAAUUUACACUAGAAAAACGAAACGUGCGAUCCUUAAAUUCUGUUACAUUUAAAAUAGAAAGUUAACAGUCACAAUAAUUGUACACCCAUCGUUUCUGACCAAUUGGAAACAUCGUUCGGACCGUUAAUCACUGCCUGUGUUGGGUUUCAUGCGUCAUGCUAAUGGCCGUUCUAUCCGCUCGAUGUAUUUAUUUCUAUGAGAAAUCAAGAGGGAAAAGGCUGAGUAUGAAGUAAACAGAUGUUCUCAGUGUCUUGAUAACGUUCAAAACCUUUCACAAUCAACAACCACCUAAAUGUUUUUCGCAGUCUGUCAUCUGGCGAAUUCACCGCGUGUCGGCCGAUGCGGAGGCGUUUUCCAUGAAUCCCUGCUGCACUACAGUAUGUGCAGGAGGCCUACAACUUAACAGGGGCCUCAAACAGGGAGGAGACCAUGAACCUCAACGAGAAGAAGCCCAACAAGUGGUGGACAGAACCGGACACGUUUGCCAUGCUGGCCCUAAUAGAGCAGCUGGAUCUGGUCCACGAGCUGGAUAAGAAGCGUCAGCGCAACGAAUCCCUCUUCCGACGCCUCAGGCUGAGUCUGGCAAAGCGGGGAAUCCACUUCACUGUCACCCAAAUCCGAAACCGUUGGAAGAGUCUCAAACACAAGUACCGUAAGAUCAAACUGGCCAGCUACCGAAGUCCAGCCGCUCGCCUCUCUGCCAUCGAGUCUUUCCGCUACUUCCAUAUGCUGGAUCACAUGUUGGUGCGCAGACCGAAGGCGGGAGGCAGGGAGGACGACCUCACAGAUGCUCACGCCCUGCUAGGACGGUCACUCGUGGACCUGGAUGACCAUGCAGACAGUCCUUGGCCUGAAGGCAUAAUCCCUAAAUCUGAGCCCGAGAGCAUGUCUUCUAAACUUGAACCUGAUGUUGACGACAGUCUGAAUCCAGAUGACGUGGCUGGUUCUGAGCCUCCAAGCUGGGCUGUAGGACCAGAUGAAGUUAUGACCCUGGGCUUGUCAGGAGAAUACCUCUAUGCAGUGAAGACCGAGCCACCAUCCCUAUGCACUCCCAACAGCACAGAAAGUACAAGAGAUGCUGUUGACUGCAGCUACAAUGAUUUCCCAGCAGGAACUUCUGAAGAGACUAGCAGCCUGAUCCUCCAGCAGCUAACCAUCCUGAACCACCGGCUUGGAGAACAGCUGGCUGAGCAGAGAGCCUUCCACUGCAGCAUGCUGGGAAUGAUGGAUCGCCAGAUCCAGGUCCUGGAGCAGCUCUCCAAUUUCACCAGGAACCAUCAAUCCAAGCUUGAGACGCCAGACACGGACUCUUCAGUCAGUCCAAAUGUGCAUGAAGCUCAAACGCAGACUUUUGAGCCAUAUCCCACGUUCCUCAUGCCCAAAAGCGAACCAGCAGCUGCUCCUUGGAAGGUCUCCCUCUUGGAAGUCCACAAGAGGUCAACACACAGUGACACUGAGACUCCUCAAACCCUGGAAGGGUGCAAAGCAAACACCUCUAGCCCACCACCUUUAGAGAUUUCGUCCUCAACCAAGAACACUAUUGUGCUGAAUGGAUUGUGUAAGCACGAUUGAGUGCUGCUUGUUUGGGACGUUACACAUUCAGUAGGAACAACAAAAGUCUUUUGUUCUGUAGAUGUUUCAGGUGGUGGUCUGAUCUGAAACAUCAACAUAUGCGUUUUUCAGUUUCAUAGGAAAGUAUUCAGUGCUCUGAUGUUUUAAUCAGUAACACUUUUGAGAAAUAGAACAAUAGACUCAUUAUUUAUUUACUUUGGUUUGUUUGCCAACUAACACUCGAUGUGAAUCUUAGAUGGUAAGUAACUUAACAGUGACUGUUUCAAAAUUGCAGUUCGGACCAAGGUAGCUUUAUGUCUGUAAUCAUCUUGCAUUAUCUGAGAAAAAAGUGGGUUAUUGGUAAGCUUAAAGUUGUGUAAAAUAUCAGUUUCUUCCAAUUAGGUUUGGGACACACUUUUAAGGCUGAUUUUAACAAAAGAAGGUGUGUUAUCAUGAAUUUCAUCAUCUAAUCUGAACUCAUGUGGUUAAGUAUGAACUUAUAAGUCUGUUAAUUUCAAUAACUGCUUGCCUCUUAUUAUAAAGUAAUAUUUCACUGAUAUGUGUCAUAGUAUUUUUGACAUGCUAAAUCAAUCAGGGUUGGGAUGUAACGCCACUAAGUCCAGCGA